RNAcentral lists this ribosomal RNA (401 nucleotides) under uncultured bacterium. Its description in RNAcentral is "bacterial SSU rRNA". It matches the Rfam family "Bacterial small subunit ribosomal RNA", at positions 356 to 773 of the family's 1533-position model. The record is from RNAcentral.
GGGGAAUAUUGGACAAUGGGCGCAAGCCUGAUCCAGCCAUGCCGCGUGAGUGAUGAAGGCCCUAGGGUUGUAAAGCUCUUUCGGCGGGGACGAUAAUGACGGUACCCGCAGAAGAAGCCCCGGCUAACUUCGUGCCAGCAGCCGCGGUAAUACGAAGGGGGCUAGCGUUGUUCGGAAUCACUGGGCGUAAAGCGCACGUAGGCGGAUUGUUAAGUCAGGGGUGAAAUCCCGAGGCUCAACCUCGGAACUGCCUUUGAUACUGGCAAUCUUCGAGUCCGGGAGAGGUGAGUGGAACUCCGAGUGUAGAGGUGAAAUUCGUAGAUAUUCGGAAGAACACCAGUGGCGAAGGCGGCUCACUGGCCCGGUACUGACGCUGAGGUGCGAAAGCGUGGGGAGCAAAC